UGGGGAAUUUUGGACAAUGGGCGCAAGCCUGAUCCAGCCAUGCCGCGUGCGGGAAGAAGGCCUUCGGGUUGUAAACCGCUUUUGUCAGGGAAGAAAUCCUUUGAGCUAAUACCUCGGGGGGAUGACGGUACCUGAAGAAUAAGCACCGGCUAACUACGUGCCAGCAGCCGCGGUAAUACGUAGGGUGCGAGCGUUAAUCGGAAUUACUGGGCGUAAAGCGUGCGCAGGCGGUUAUAUAAGACAGAUGUGAAAUCCCCGGGCUCAACCUGGGACCUGCAUUUGUGACUGUAUAGCUAGAGUACGGUAGAGGGGGAUGGAAUUCCGCGUGUAGCAGUGAAAUGCGUAGAGAUCUGGAGGAAUACCGGUGGCGAAGGCGGCCCCCUGGACAAAGACUGACGCUCAGGUGCGAAAGCGUGGGGAGCAAACA
This 427-nucleotide ribosomal RNA is filed under the name uncultured bacterium. Its description in RNAcentral is "bacterial SSU rRNA". It matches the Rfam family "Bacterial small subunit ribosomal RNA", at positions 355 to 774 of the family's 1533-position model. The record is from RNAcentral.